This 723-nucleotide ribosomal RNA is filed under the name Triticum aestivum (bread wheat). RNAcentral's name for it is "partial small subunit ribosomal RNA". Lineage: Eukaryota; Viridiplantae; Streptophyta; Magnoliopsida; Poales; Poaceae. The record is from RNAcentral.
AUGAGGAUGGAGUAUUAUUUUGAUGCUGAGAUGUCCCAAUGUGAGAAGGAUCCGUCACGAGCCCUUUCAUGGUUUCAAAUCUACACAAGAGUGAAGGUUGGGCCAACUACUUGUGCUGCAAUGUUUGAUCGUUCUUCAGAAAUAAAUUUGGUGAGUCAAACGUUGGUUGAUGCAUUGAAGCUAGUAGUAAUAGAGCAUCUAGACCCAUAUAAGCUCAGAUGGCAGGGAAAAUUUGUGACAAUAAAACAUCAAGUAGAGGUGACUUUUGGAUUUUGUGGAUUUACCCAUUCAGUUUUCUGUGAUGUUCUUCCAUGUCAUAUGUAUAUGUGUAGCUUGAUACUUGGUAAAUCUUGGACAAAAAAGAGGGAGCUACAGAUUGAUAAAUCUGGCUAUUUUUCUUGGAGGAAAUUUCAGAUUUUUCGUAAUGGUCGAUGGAUUUAUUUUGAAGCAUACUCUUCCGAACAAUAUUUGGAAGAUCGUAAGAGAAGAGACCGAGCACAUGCUGCAAUUAAUGCAAAGAAAGAAGAAGAGCAGAUCUUGCUAGAAAAGAAAAAGGCGGAGGAUAGUCUUGUUGGAACUAAAAACAUUUCUUCACAUGAGAAGAACAAAGAGAAACCAACAGUACCAACGAGUGGGCUGAAUAUGCAACUUAAGAGGGUACAGGAUGGAGAUAAAUUGGCAGUAGACAGAGGUCAGCGCAUGAGUUUAUUUCAAACUCAGUGA